RNAcentral lists this ribosomal RNA (506 nucleotides) under uncultured bacterium. RNAcentral's name for it is "partial 16S ribosomal RNA". It matches the Rfam family "Bacterial small subunit ribosomal RNA", at positions 28 to 523 of the family's 1533-position model. The record is from RNAcentral.
GAUGAACGCUAGCUACAGGCUUAACACAUGCAAGUCGAGGGGUAACGAGAGGAAAGCUUGCUUUCCUUGUCGACGACCGGCGCACGGGUGAGUAACGCGUAUCCAACCUGCCCCCAACUAGGGAAUAACCUUGCGAAAGUAAGACUAAUACCCUAUAAUUUCCUCAGAUGACAUCUGACGAGGAAUAAAGAUUUAUCGGCUGUGGCUGGGGAUGCGUCUGAUUAGCUUGUUGGCGGGGUAACGGCCCAACAAGGCAACGAUCAGUAGGGGUUCUGAGAGGAAGGUCCCCCACAUUGGAACUGAGACACGGUCCAAACUCCUACGGGAGGCAGCAGUGAGGAAUAUUGGUCAAUGGGCGGAAGCCUGAACCAGCCAAGUAGCGUGCAGGAUGACGGCCCUAUGGGUUGUAAACUGCUUUUAUACAGGAAUAAAGUUAGCCACGUGUGGUUAUUUGUAGGUACUGUAUGAAUAAGGACCGGCUAAUUCCGUGCCAGCCGCCGCCGUAA